GCCCCGCACACGGCUCAGUAACACGUAGUCAACCUACCCUUGGGACGGGAACAACCUCGGGAAACUGAGGCUAAUUCCCGAUAGGCGGGGACGCUGGAAAUGCCCCUCGCCCAAAGCUCCGGCGCCCAAGGAUGGGACUGCGGUCUAUCAGGUCGUUGGUGGUGUAACGGACCACCAAACCUACGACGGGUACGGGCAGUGGGAGCUGGAGCCCGGAGAUGGGGACUGAGACAAGGCCCCAGGCCCUACGGGGCGCAGCAGGCGCGAAAACUUCGCAAUGCGCGAAAGCGUGACGAGGGAACCCCAAGUGCCGAUGGUCUUUUAGAUCGUCGGCUUUUCAAGAGUUUAAACCGCUCUUGGAAUAAGAGCUGGGUAAGACUGGUGCCAGCCGCCGCGGUAACACCAGCAGCUCAAGUGGUGGUCGCGAUUAUUGGGCCUAAAGCGUCUGUAGCCGGGCCAGUAAGUCCCUUGUGAAAUCGGACGGCUCAACCGUUCGGCUUGCAGGGGAAACUACCGGCCUUGGGGCCGGGAGACGCUGAGGGUACUCCGGGGGUAGCGGUGAAAUGCUGUAAUCCCUGGGGGAUCACCAGUGGCGAAGGCGCUCAGCGAGAACGGACCUGACGGUGAGAGACGAAGGCUAGGGGAGCGAACCGGAUUAGAUACCCGGGUAGUCCUAGCUGUAAAGUAUG
Molecule: ribosomal RNA, 689 nt
Filed under: uncultured archaeon
Lineage: Archaea
Description: bacterial SSU rRNA
Rfam family: Archaeal small subunit ribosomal RNA
Source: RNAcentral